GGUUAAGCGACUAAGCGUACACGGUGGAUGCCCUGGCAGUCAGAGGCGAUGAAGGACGUGCUAAUCUGCGAUAAGCGUCGGUAAGGUGAUAUGAACCGUUAUAACCGGCGAUUUCCGAAUGGGGAAACCCAGUGUGAUUCGUCACACUAUCAUUACGUGAAUACAUAGCGUAAUGAAGCGAACCGGGGGAACUGAAACAUCUAAGUACCCCGAGGAAAAGAAAUCAACCGAGAUUCCCCCAGUAGCGGCGAGCGAACGGGGAGCAGCCCAGAGUCUGAAUCAGCUUGUGUGUUAGUGGAACGGUCUGGAAAGUCCGACGGUACAGGGUGAUAGUCCCGUACACCAAAAUGCACAGGUUGUGAACUCGAAGAGUAGGGCGGGACACGUGGUAUCCUGUCUGAAUAUGGGGGGACCAUCCUCCAAGGCUAAAUACUCCUGACUGACCGAUAGUGAACCAGUACCGUGAGGGAAAGGCGAAAAGAACCCCGGCGAGGGGAGUGAAAAAGAACCUGAAACCGUGUACGUACAAGCAGUGGGAGCCUCUUUAUGGGGUGACUGCGUACCUUUUGUAUAAUGGGUCAGCGACUUAUAUUCUGUAGCAAGGUUAACCGUAUAGGGGAGCCGAAGGGAAACCGAGUCUUAACUGGGCGUUAAGUUGCAGGGUAUAGACCCGAAACCCGGUGAUCUAGCCAUGGGCAGGUUGAAGGUUGGGUAACACUAACUGGAGGACCGAACCGACUAAUGUUGAAAAAUUAGCGGAUGACUUGUGGCUGGGGGUGAAAGGCCAAUCAAACCGGGAGAUAGCUGGUUCUCCCCGAAAGCUAUUUAGGUAGCGCCUCGUGAAUUCAUCUUCGGGGGUAGAGCACUGUUUCGGCUAGGGGGUCAUCCCGACUUACCAACCCGAUGCAAACUGCGAAUACCGAAGAAUGUUAUCACGGGAGACACACGGCGGGUGCUAACGUCCGUCGUGAAGAGGGAAACAACCCAGACCGCCAGCUAAGGUCCCAAAGUCAUGGUUAAGUGGGAAACGAUGUGGGAAGGCACAGACAGCCAGGAUGUUGGCUUAGAAGCAGCCAUCAUUUAAAGAAAGCGUAAUAGCUCACUGGUCGAGUCGGCCUGCGCGGAAGAUGUAACGGGGCUAAACCAUGCACCGAAGCUGCGGCAGCGACACUAUGUGUUGUUGGGUAGGGGAGCGUUCUGUAAGCCGUUGAAGGUGGCCUGUGAGGGUUGCUGGAGGUAUCAGAAGUGCGAAUGCUGACAUAAGUAACGAUAAUGCGGGUGAAAAACCCGCACGCCGGAAGACCAAGGGUUCCUGUCCAACGUUAAUCGGGGCAGGGUGAGUCGACCCCUAAGGCGAGGCCGAAAGGCGUAGUCGAUGGGAAACAGGUUAAUAUUCCUGUACUUGGUGUUACUGCGAAGGGGGGACGGAGAAGGCUAUGUUAGCCGGGCGACGGUUGUCCCGGUUUAAGCAUGUAGGCGGAGGUUCCAGGUAAAUCCGGUACCUUUUAACGCUGAGGUGUGAUGACGAGGCACUACGGUGCUGAAGUAACAAAUGCCCUGCUUCCAGGAAAAGCCUCUAAGCAUCAGGUAACACGAAAUCGUACCCCAAACCGACACAGGUGGUCAGGUAGAGAAUACCAAGGCGCUUGAGAGAACUCGGGUGAAGGAACUAGGCAAAAUGGUGCCGUAACUUCGGGAGAAGGCACGCUGAUAUGUAGGUGAAGCGGUUUACCCGUGGAGCUGAAAUCAGUCGAAGAUACCAGCUGGCUGCAACUGUUUAUUAAAAACACAGCACUGUGCAAACACGAAAGUGGACGUAUACGGUGUGACGCCUGCCCGGUGCCGGAAGGUUAAUUGAUGGGGUUAUCCGUAAGGAGAAGCUCUUGAUCGAAGCCCCGGUAAACGGCGGCCGUAACUAUAACGGUCCUAAGGUAGCGAAAUUCCUUGUCGGGUAAGUUCCGACCUGCACGAAUGGCGUAAUGAUGGCCAGGCUGUCUCCACCCGAGACUCAGUGAAAUUGAACUCGCUGUGAAGAUGCAGUGUACCCGCGGCAAGACGGAAAGACCCCGUGAACCUUUACUAUAGCUUGACACUGAACACUGGUCCUUGAUGUGUAGGAUAGGUGGGAGGCUUUGAAGUGUGGACGCCAGUCUGCAUGGAGCCAUCCUUGAAAUACCACCCUUUAAUGGCUGGUGUUCUAACGUGGACCCGUAAUCCGGGUUGCGGACAGUGUCUGGUGGGUAGUUUGACUGGGGCGGUCUCCUCCUAAAGAGUAACGGAGGAGCACGAAGGUUAGCUAAUCCUGGUCGGACAUCAGGAGGUUAGUGCAAAGGCAUAAGCUAGCUUGACUGCGAGAGUGACGGCUCGAGCAGGUGCGAAAGCAGGUCUUAGUGAUCCGGUGGUUCUGAAUGGAAGGGCCAUCGCUCAACGGAUAAAAGGUACUCCGGGGAUAACAGGCUGAUACCGCCCAAGAGUUCAUAUCGACGGCGGUGUUUGGCACCUCGAUGUCGGCUCAUCACAUCCUGGGGCUGAAGUAGGUCCCAAGGGUAUGGCUGUUCGCCAUUUAAAGUGGUACGCGAGCUGGGUUUAGAACGUCGUGAGACAGUUCGGUCCCUAUCUGCCGUGGGCGCUGGAGAAUUGAGGGGGGCUGCUCCUAGUACGAGAGGACCGGAGUGGACGCAUCACUGGUGUUCGGGUUGUCAUGCCAAUGGCAUUGCCCGGUAGCUAAAUGCGGAAGAGAUAAGUGCUGAAAGCAUCUAAGCACGAAACUUGCCCCGAGAUGAGUUCUCCCUGAGACUAUAAGUCUCCUGAAGGAACGUUAAAGACGAUGACGUUGAUAGGUCGGGUGUGUAAGUGUAGCGAUACAUUGAGCUAACCGAUACUAAUGAACCGUGAGGCUUAACCUU
Molecule: ribosomal RNA, 2906 nt
Filed under: Citrobacter freundii
Lineage: Bacteria; Pseudomonadati; Pseudomonadota; Gammaproteobacteria; Enterobacterales; Enterobacteriaceae
Description: 23S ribosomal RNA
Rfam family: Bacterial large subunit ribosomal RNA
Source: RNAcentral